Mustela erminea (ermine) is the source of this 1247-nucleotide long non-coding RNA. RefSeq lists it as uncharacterized. The record is from RefSeq and is a predicted model, not a curated record. The transcript has 3 exons. NCBI's taxonomy places the organism in Eukaryota, Metazoa, Chordata, Mammalia, Carnivora, Mustelidae.
CCCCGCCUCUCGAGGGAGGUCACGCCUCCUGCGGCGACAGACCCUCCCUUUACGUCUCCUCCACCACCACCACCACCACUGAAACUAGACCACCACACGUCAAUGCGGCCAGAACGACCUCAAGAUAGUUUUUAACACUCACCGGCUUCUCAACGAAUUGGUGGGGAGCCCCGCCUCUCUUUUACACCUGGAUCCGAAUCUCAGCCCUAAAGAUGAGGAAACGGGAGCACAGAGAGGUUAAGGAACUUGCUCAAGGUCACACAGCUUGUAAGUGAAAGAGGCACAAUGUGAACUCAAGCAAUGCUGCUCUCAGUCUGGGAGAACAGGUUAAUGCCCUCGAUAGGUGAAUGGCUAAACAAGCGGUGGUCCAUUCCGAUCAUGGAACACUAUUCAGCAAUAGGAAGAAAAACUAUUGAAACACACAACUUGGAUGAAUCUCAAAGUAAUUGUGCUCAGAGAACAGAUUGUGGUUGCCAGAAGCCAGGGUGGGAGGAAAGAGUGGGAGGGAAACUGAUCAAAGUUGCAGACAUCCAGUUAAAAGAUAAGUAAGUCCUGGGACUGUAAUGGACAGCUUGGAAAACACAGUUAACAAUAGUGUAUUGUAGAUUGGGAAGUUGCUAAGAGAGUAGGUCUUAAAAGUUCUUGUCAUAAGAAAAAAAUUGUAACAAUGUGAAGUGUUGGAUGUCAACUUAUUAUAGUCACCAUUUUGCAAUAUAUAUGUAUAUCAAACCAUUGGUUGUAUACCUUAAAAUACAAUGUUAUAUGUCGAUUAUACUUCAGUAAAACUGGUGGUAGGGGAGGCAAGAAAGUCCAGAACUACAAACAUAAGUCAUAAUUUAAAUUAUGUUUCUUUCUAGCAAAGGUCUGUGAGAUUAUAUGUUGCAUAUCUUAUUAUUCCUAGACAGACUCUUGAGUUCUAUUUGAAUGUUCUAGCCCUUUACCUUUUGAUGAAAUCAAUGAUAUUUUUGGUGAAAUAGUUUUAAAGAAUGAAGAUUUAUAAAUUAUACAUUGGAUUAAUAUAUCAGAUAUCAGCAUUCCUUAUGCUGGUGUCAUAUAAUCCUGACUAUUUAAAAUUAUUUUAAUCUCCAGAAACAUUUAAUAUUCUGUGUUGAAUGGAGUGCCAUCUCUGUAAUAGAGAAAUAAGAUAUUAUUUAAAAGGUUUAUUUUAAAUAUCACUUAUUCUUUAAUUUUAGAAAGACUAUUAAUUCACAAAUCAAAUUGUGCUGAACAUUAAAAAGUGUGACAGA